UAUUUUUAGAGAUUUAUUCUGAGCUGAAUAUGAGUGACCUUGGCCUGUGACACAGCCCUCAGGAGGUCCUGAGAACAUGUGCCUAAGGUGGUCGGGGUACAGCUUGGUUUUAUAUAUUUUAGGGAGUCACGAGACAUCAGUCAAAUACAUUGAAGAAAUACAUUGGUUGGGUUCAGAAAGGCGGGACAACUCAGAGCGGGGCCUUCCAGGCUAUCGGUGAAUUCAAACAUUUUCUGGUUGACAGUUGGUUGAGUUUAAGAAGACCUGGGAUCAACAGAGAGGAAAUGCGAGGUUGAGAUAAAGGACUGCGGAGACCAAGUCUUAUUGUGCAGAGGAAGCUCUCAGAUAGCAGACUUCAGAGGGAGCAGAUUGUGAAAUGUUUCUUAUCAGACCUAAAAGGUGCCUGGCUCUUAGCUAAUUAUCUCCUGGAUCUGCAAAGGAAGGAAGGAAAACAAAGGGGAAGGGGAUUCGCUAUAGAAUGUGGAUUUUUCCCACAAGAGACUUUGCAGGGCAAUUUCAAGGUCUGGCAAGGAAAUAUAUUUUGGGAUGAAAUAUUUUGAUUUUUUUAUUGUCUUAUAAUGUUAUGCCAGAGUCAGACUGGAAAGUAAGUCACGAUAUAUAUAGGGUCAAAUAAGACCCAUCUGAUGAGAAUUUAUGGUUGAAGGGUAUGACUCCCUAGACCCCUUAGAUAGGAAUUGGGGCAAGAUAAAAAAUUAGAGCUUAGUCCUGAUAUUCAAAGACAUUUCUCGGAGAAGGGUCUGAGAAGAGAGGUGGGGGAUCUGGGAGCUGUGUGGAGGGACCCCCUGUGUGCAGAGGAAGGGUCUGAGAAGGGAGGUGGGGGGUCUGGGAGCUGUGUGGAGGGACCCCCUGCGGGUGGGGGAAGGGUCUGAGAGAGGUGGGGGUCUGGGAGCUGUGUGGAGGGACCCCCUGUGGGUGGGGGAAGGAUGUGAGAGAGGUGGGGGGCAGGUGUCGUGGGAUUCAGAGAGUGGUAACCUUUGAACACUCAGCUUCCUAGCAGUCAAGACAAAAAGGGCCAUCUAUGUCUGAAGGGAGGUGGCUUCCAGGGACCAGUGGCUUCUCAGCACAGGUGCCUUGGCAGAGGCUGCCUGACCUCAGACACAGACACCCCUCUGCCCUCUGCCAGUGGCCCAGGGCCAAGUCUCCCAGGGAUCUCCCACCUCAGCCGUCUUGAUAGUGGCUCCAACACCCACGGGCCAUGUCCCUGUCACCCACCGCACUCCGCCCACUGCUGCGUCCUGAGAGUCAGGGUCUCCCCCACAGAACAGGAGACUCCAGAGGGGGUCCCAGGGUUGCUCCCAGCAGGUCUAUUUGGACCUCCCCUCCCCAGAGCCCAGCCCCAGCCUCGUUAAUUCUGUAAUAUUUGGUUUUGAAGAAAUUUACCAUAAAUGUAUAGAUCUUAAAAAAUCAUGCCAGGGCUGUGAUAUUCUUGGCAAAAGCCAGUCUGGUGUCCAUUUCUGUUGGAGAAGAUGAAAGAUGAGAUUCCAGAUGUUCUUUCGGAUUUGGGCCAUCCCAUUCCGUCUGCCACUCAGGAGAGUUCAAUAGACCUAACAUUUUUGUCUGAAAGGCUUGGGGAGUUUCUCCUCUGCCACACGCUCCUCCUGAGGGAGCCCCUCAUUCUGGGACGUGGCUUGUGGCGGCCGUGGCAGCAGCUGGUUCCCGAGGGACAGGACCCACUGGGGUCCCUGAGGCUCCUCCGACAGCAGUGGCAGGGGGCAGGCAGGACCCGGGCAGACGGACCUUUCCAGAAAGACCCACCAGGCUGGACAGGCAGAGUUGCACGGUGGUGAGGCCGGCUCCCAGUGCUGCCACACUUGGCUCCCGAGGGCUAACGAUGUCUUCAAUCGUACAAAGGCCUCUGAUUCACUCCGUAAAUCCUAUGCUGACACGCUGCCUCUUGGCAUCUUAUUUUGUUUACUUAGAACCGACUUUGAGGUGAGGAAUGCUUGCAUGUUGCUGGGUGUUUAGAGGAAGAGUAAUAGAUUAUUUGUAACUCCUGUAAUGAAAACAUUACGCAGGCACAACGAUGGGCUCAGUCCUGCUCAUUUUCCGCUGCUAAUUGCCAGGGCAUACAGGCUCUGUUAUGAACUGAAGUGCCAUCUGUAACCUCCCACAUUUAUUAAAAUAUAAUUGCUUUAAUGAAAUUCUUUUGGAAUAAGACAUAGUUCAAACAACACACUGCCUUCAUGGGUGAUUUUCUGGCCAAUUACGGACGUGACCACGGAGUCUCUCGCUUUCAAUCAGAUGGUUUUUCCUUGUAAAUGUGUUGGAGAGGACGUUCCAGGGGCUGCUCUGGGCUCUGGCUGGGCUAUUUGAACCUUCCACUUUGACCUUAGAAAUGCUUCAGUCGUUUUAAAAAGUGCAGAAAAUACACCCCCAGCUCUGUGGUCAUCCCGGGAGGUGGGUCAUGGUGCACAUCCCGACACCUUCCCAGGCCCGUCUGCUGCAAGCCCCACCACCUUCCCAGGCCUGCCUGCCUCGAGCCCCUGCCUCCAGGUGCGCUGGUUUAUGAUGGGGGCGGGGGCGGGGGCAGGUGGCGAGCAUUUGCCUGUCUCACAAGUGGAGCUUUUAAGGAAAAUUAAUGAAGAAACAGACCGGCUAGCUGGGGAGUCUUUAAAAAUAGUCCUUUCACCUGGAAUCGCUCUCUUCCUCUCAGCCUCAAGUGCCACUUUCCUUACUGGUCGAGAGGGCUCCCCAGACACUGUGCUGCAGUCUGAUCUGCCUCGGUGCCCUGCCCGGACAGCGUGGAAGGCGCUGCUCGUGUUCCCGUGGUCUGCCUCGGUGCCCUGCUCUCCCUUUUCUCUCUGGAACAAAGUCAUUUGUGCUUUGCGGUGGCAUUCUCAGCUGUGAAAAGUCUGAUUUAAAUGAUUUGGCAAAUGAGUGGUUCUCCAUUCACACCGCCGUUCUGCCUCCUUGGUGGUGGGCGUGGGCUGCGGCUCACACCGGCAGCAGCAGGAACAAUGGACUUCACCUGUCCACGCGCCCAGCGCCAUUCCCAGUCCUGAGACCUGUGAAACCCACUGGACAAGAUGCAGCUCUCGUUCUCAGAGACAAAGGGCCCUGGAGCCUGCAGGAGGGCCGGUGCUGUGGCUUUCACCCUGGAUGUGACUUGCCAUCUUGGCUAAUCUGAGCCGAGGGAGGGACGACGAUUUCUCAUCCCUUACACUUCCGAAGGACCUUCUAUCCCACACAGCGACCCUCGCUGCAGAAACUGUCGGAUGCCAGCGUGUGAUGUGUGCUUUCCCGGAGGAGAGGAGACAUGGGGUCUGCGUCUCCCUGGGUGCGAAUUUGGACACGAUGCAGGCAGGGAGGGCCCCCCAUCCCUCAAACCCGCCAUUAAUUCCCCUGCUUUUCCUGAGUCAUGGAUUUGAAAUGCCUUUGUCUAGAUCACAUCAGAUCUUAGAGGUGGUGAACUGCGGGCAUUUGUCUUGGGGAUAGUGGGUGCUACUCCUCCAGGGACCACGAGCAGCUCCCCAUCCUGCCUUCUGGGGACUGAUGAAAAUGCUCCCACUCCACACCUCCUGUGGUCCGGGCAGCCCAGGGAGUGAGAUGCUGGAGCCGGGUCAGGAGCUGGGCGAGGUGCUGGAGCCGGGUCAGGCGCUGGAGCAGAGCCAGGUGACCUCCCAUCAAUGUCACCCUCAGACCAAACCCAUGACGCAGGUUUCAAUCCCAGCUGACACUUAGGUUCUGGGUGAUCGUAGACAUUGUUUAUGCCUCUUUUUUUUAAUGUUUGAUUUUUCUUAAAAGACUACUUUUUCAGAGCAGUUUUACAGUCACAGAAACAUGGAGAAGAAGGUCCAGAGAGUUUCCAUAUGCCUCCUGCCCCCACACAGGCACAGCCUCCCCCACCACCAACCUCCCAGGCUGGAGACGUGCAUUUGUGCCGGGCGAUGAACCCGCACGGACGCAUCCGAUGGUCCGGAUCCCGGAGCUCACUACGGGGCUCCCUCCUGGGGCCACUCACUCCGUGGGUUUGGACAAACGUGUGAUCGCAGGCAUCUGCCCUGUGGUGUCCCCCGGAGCAGUUUCACUGCUAAACAUCCUCUGUGCUCUGCCUGUUUGUCCUUCUCUCCCGAAGCCCCUGGCUACCUGUCAUCGUUCUACUGUCUCCGUAGUUUUGCCUAGAAUGUCAUCUAGUUGGACUCACGCGCGCUGAGUGACACUCCGCUGCCUGGAAGUGCCCAGUUUAUCCAUUCACCGACUGAAGGGUAUCUUGAUCGCAUCCCCGUUGGGCCAGUGAGAGGAAAGCUGUGUGAACCUCUGAGUGCAGGUUUCCGUGUGGACGAAGGAGUUCAGCUCUUUUGGGCAGGUACCAAGGGUUCUUAGGACAAUGGGAAGAGCCUGUGUGAGUGUGGGAAAGGCAGCUGCAGGUCCCGUGCUGAGAAGGUCCCUCGCCUAGAAGCCAGUGCCUCUGGUCUGGUUCAGGCCCUGUCUGCACAGUGAGUCCAGCUGGCAUCCAUAGGAAGAAAGGGUGUUCCCCGGGCGUGCUCCAGAAGCAGCUACACAUCUGUCGGGCUGCAGCAGAGGCUGCAUCUCAGCGUGUUCCCUGGAUGCCCCUGACCCUGUGACGGCUCAGAAACAGCAGCUGUGGGCAAACCACGGUGACGGCCAUGUGGGCCCAGCUCCCUCCUGCUGCUCUGGCCAGAGCCCGUUGCCGUGGUGGCAGAGGCAUCUCUGGAUUUCCUGCUGCAGCAGGACAGAGUCCACAUCAGGACUUGAAUGUUCCCUGCAGCACAAGGAGGCGAGAGAGAGAGGCCUGGGGUCUCUGCUGAGGAAUCAUCGUGUCACUCGCCCUCCCUUCAGAGUUCGGGAAACUGAGGCAGGAGAGGCUGAAGUUGCCAGAGGUCACGCGCUAAGGAGCUGCAGAGCCAGCUUUGCGUCCCUCCCCUGUGGGGCCCCAGGAGGGCUGUGAGGCUGGGGAACCCACUGCGGGGUCCGGAGCUCCAGGAUCUGGUGCUGAGGCCCUGGGAGGAAGAGGGAACCUACGGACUGCUCGUGGCUCCCCUACUCCCGGGGAAAUGCAGGGAAACUGAAGCCUGGGCUGUCCCCUCUCCCAGCUGGCAGAGGGCCCUCAGGUCUGCACGCUGGGCCUGGCCGGAGUCCCGCCGAGCAGAGCGGAAAGUGAGCCGGUACCAGUGCUCGUGGCAGG
Molecule: long non-coding RNA, 5167 nt
Filed under: Homo sapiens (human)
Lineage: Eukaryota; Metazoa; Chordata; Mammalia; Primates; Hominidae
Description: HSALNT0253803
Source: RNAcentral